AGAGCGAACGCUGGCGGCAGGCCUAAUACAUGCAAGUCGAGCGGCCACUUCGGUGGCAGCGGCGGACGGGUGAGUAACGCGUGGGAAUGUGCCCUUUGGUACGGAACAACUGAGGGAAACUUCAGCUAAUACCGUAUGUGCCCGUUCGGGGGAAAGAUUUAUUGCCAUUGGGAGCAGCCCGCGUUGGAUUAGCUAGUUGGGUGGGGUAAAGGCCCACCAAGGCGACGAUCCAUAGCUGGUCUGAGAGGAUGAUCAGCCACACUGGACUGAGACACGGCCCAGCUCCGUACGGAGGCAGCAAGUAGGAAUCGUUGCGCAAGUGGACGAAAGCCUGACGCAGCCACGUCGCCGCGUACGAAGUGAUA
This 365-nucleotide ribosomal RNA is filed under the name uncultured soil bacterium. RNAcentral's name for it is "bacterial SSU rRNA". It matches the Rfam family "Bacterial small subunit ribosomal RNA", at positions 26 to 418 of the family's 1533-position model. The record is from RNAcentral.